Bos taurus (domestic cattle) is the source of this 1523-nucleotide long non-coding RNA. The record is from Ensembl. NCBI's taxonomy places the organism in Eukaryota, Metazoa, Chordata, Mammalia, Artiodactyla, Bovidae.
CCUAAAGCUGCAGACAGUCCUGUAAGAAAAGGGAGACGUGUACAUACUUCGUCAACUCUGAUGAUGGGAGGCGGACCAUUAACACACCCAAAGGUCCAGAGGCAGUCAGUCCGGAGCACAACUGGAGUAGCAGUUCCUCGGACACCAGGGACCAGCUUUCUUUCUUUUUGCUCCACCAUCCUCAGCUUGUUACAUACUUGUAACAAGUGUGCAUGUGCUCCAGCCAUCACAUACACACUCAAGAGGAAAAAAAGACAUAGAAGAUUGCACCUCUACCUUUACUUUCAAAACUCCUGCACAGCACUUCUGAUUAUAACACCUUGAGCCAAGUUUAGUCCUCUGAUGACACCUAGCUAAAGUGGGGGUUUCAGAUGGGGGGCAUGGCUGUCCUGCGUACAAAUUGAGAUCCUGUUAAUUAAGAAAGGAGAGAAUGAGGGACUUACUUGGUGGUCCAGGAGUGAAGAAUCUGCCUUCCAAUGCAGGAGAUGCAGGUUUCGUCCCUGCUCAGGGAACUAAGAUUCCAUACGCCUCAGGGCAACUAAGCCCAUGUGCUGUGGCUAGAAAAAGCCUGCAGGCCACAGUGAAGACCCAGCACGGCAAAAAACAAAAACAAACCGAGAGAGAAUGGAUUGUGCAGUUGGCAAGCCGUCAUCUUUGCCUCAGAUAUAGUUGCCAUUGAUGUUGUCACUGUUAUUACAGAAGACAGGACUCCGGGGGUGGAUGGGAGCCAGAGAUUCUGAGAGUCACGACCAUCACAGGUGAUGAAUGAGACUACAGAAGCGAUAAGAAUCCUGAAGGAGUGACAGGAACAGAUGUCCCAGAAUCUUCUAGGACCAGUUACAUCCAUGGACCUCCAGGUUUCCAACAAGCCCUCCCCCGACCCCUGCCCAAAUCUGAUUCAGUAGAUUGGGAUCAGUCCAUAUAAUAUCUAUUUUUAACCAGCACCUCAGGUGACUGAUGCAGCCGGCCCACGUCCCAGUGUGUUUCUUGCAUGGGUUACUUCUCUGCUGAAAGCACUGAUGGAUUUCUGCCUCUAUAGAGCUAUAAUGUAAUGUCAGACCCUGUGUCAUGGGAACGGGGAGGGGAGUGAUGAUUAUAAAAGAACUUGACAACCUUUUUACCCACCUCAACAUUCACUUAGAGAGCCAGUGUUUUAAUUGAAUUAAAUAUACAUAUGCAUUAUGUUAUUUAACUUCAAAACAACUUGAUCUAACCAAAUAGCUCUGUCUGACGAUAUGUAAUUAUCAGCAUUUUAUAUAUAUAUAAUUAUCUUUAUUAAUAUGGAUAUAUUUAUCUCUUAAUAUGAAGACCUGUUUCCUUCACAGCCAUUGGCUGCCUCUUGUCUAGAAACCAUGUGGUUGGAGAUGGGGAGGAGGGGAAGCUUCAAAGCCCCAGGUCAGCAACCAGAAUUUAUUGUCUGUGGAAGGGAGCCAAGGUCUAUAUCGACAGAAAAAUGGAAGUUAGUUCAGCCUGCAGGAAAGACCCUGAUGCUGGGAAAGACUGAGAGCAGGAGGAGAAGGGGG